GACGAACGCUGGCGGCGUGCCUAACACAUGCAAGUCGAACGGGACUUAGCGGAAAGCGGCUUCGGCCAAUGGAAGUUAAGUUUAGUGGCGAACGGGUGAGUAACGCGUGAGAAACCUGCCUCUCAGUGGGGGACAACAGUUGGAAACGACUGCUAAUACCGCAUAACAUUACCGGAGGGCAUCCUCUGGUAAUCAAAGCUUUAUGUGCUGAGAGAUGGUCUCGCGUCUGAUUAGAUAGUUGGUGGGGUAACGGCCUACCAAGUCGACGAUCAGUAGCCGGUCUGAGAGGAUGAACGGCCACAUUGGGACUGAGAUACGGCCCAG
Molecule: ribosomal RNA, 324 nt
Filed under: uncultured bacterium
Lineage: Bacteria
Description: bacterial SSU rRNA
Rfam family: Bacterial small subunit ribosomal RNA
Source: RNAcentral